CCUACGAGAGGCUGCAGUGGGGAAUAUUGCCCAAUGGGGGAAACCCUGAUGCAGCGACGCCGCGUGAGCGAUGAAUUAUUUCGGUAUGUAACGCUCUAUCAGCAGGGAAGAAAAUGACGGUACCUGACUAAGAAGCCCCGGCUAACUACGUGCCAGCAGCCGCGGUAAUACGUAGGGGGCAAGCGUUAUCCGGAUUUACUGGGUGUAAAGGGAGCGUAGACGGCUGUGCAAGCCAGAUGUGAAAGCCCGGGGCUCAACCCCGGGACUGCAUUUGGAACCGUGUGUCUGGAGUGUAGGAGAGGCAGGCGGAAUUCCUAGUGUAGCGGUGAAAUGCGUAGAUAUUAGGAGGAACACCAGUGGCGAAGGCGGCCUGCUGGACGAUGACUGACGUUGAGGCUCGAAAGCGGGGGGAGCAAACAGGAUUAGAUACCCCAGUAGUC
RNAcentral lists this ribosomal RNA (440 nucleotides) under uncultured bacterium. RNAcentral describes it as "partial 16S ribosomal RNA". It matches the Rfam family "Bacterial small subunit ribosomal RNA", at positions 338 to 795 of the family's 1533-position model. The record is from RNAcentral.